UGCCAUUAGGAGCACCGGAGGACACCGGAGGACACCGGAUGACAUCGAAGGACACAUAAUUUUUUCCAGGUGAGCCUUUCUUUUAGGUGGCUAGAAUACGUUUUGCUGCGGCUUCCUGCCCACAGCACUUUAUUGCUUUGCUCCAGUGUUGGUACUCUGGCACACUUCAAGUUUGGAGAAAUAGACAACCAUCUACUGCAGGUCACGAGCCAUUUGACAAACUGUGACAUUUUCAUGUCUUUGUGCUCGUUCAUAUCACAACUGCCUAUAAAUCCCAAACUCUGUUACCCAGCCUACUGUAAACAGGCAGCAUUGGAGGGGAAGGGAUGCUAUUGUGCCAUCUCAGCAUUUACCAAAGGACAGUGCUACCCUUAGGUCUUAUACUUUAAUGUCAUACUGUAAGUUAGUGUCUCGGGAGUAAAGAAAAAUGCUCCUGCUGUUAUCUCGAUAAAAAAAAAAAAUGAUACCAACCUUUAUCUUUUGUGUCAUGACAGUUUCUUUAUAUGACAUUUUCAAUGCCGCAAUUUCCUUAAUUGUAUUUCAUCAUUGUUCGCAUGGAUGUAACAGUGCAAAUGAAGAAGUACAGUUUCAAAAUCUCUUUGUCAUUGCUUUCUUAAAUUAACUAUUUAAACGUAUAAGACAGAUUACUGUAUCUAUUGAAGAUUGUU
Long non-coding RNA from Sebastes umbrosus (honeycomb rockfish), 668 nucleotides. RefSeq lists it as uncharacterized. Lineage: Eukaryota; Metazoa; Chordata; Actinopteri; Perciformes; Sebastidae. The record is from RefSeq and is a predicted model, not a curated record. The transcript has 3 exons.